RNAcentral lists this unclassified non-coding RNA (250 nucleotides) under plant metagenome. RNAcentral's name for it is "partial contains small subunit ribosomal RNA, internal transcribed spacer 1, and 5.8S ribosomal RNA". The stretch from base 207 to 250 matches the Rfam family "5.8S ribosomal RNA", at positions 1 to 44 of the family's 154-position model. The record is from RNAcentral.
GUAGGUGAACCUGCGGAAGGAUCAUUAACAUAUUCCAUCCAAACACGCGUCUUACAUCGGUCAUUAACAGUCGCCGACCCCCACCAUAGGGUUGUGUGAUUGAACAUGGCUUGGUGGUUAUAACAGACACACAUUUACACUUUUGACAAAAUUUAUAACUAUUGACUGACUGAUUAACACCAGUCGCAACAAUCAAUAUCUUAUACAACUUUUAACAAUGGAUCUCUUGGCUCUUGCAUCGAUGAAGAAC